GAUGAACGCUGGCGGCGUGCUUAACACAUGCAAGUCGAACGGAAAGGCCCAAGCUUGCUUGGGUACUCGAGUGGCGAACGGGUGAGUAACACGUGGGUGAUCUGCCCUGCACUUCGGGAUAAGCCUGGGAAACUGGGUCUAAUACCGGAUAGGACCACAUUUUGGAUGGUGUGGUGGAAAGUUUUUCGGUGUGGGAUGAGCUCGCGGCCUAUCAGCUUGUUGGUGGGGUAAUGGCCUACCAAGGCGUCGACGGGUAGCCGGCCUGAGAGGGUGUACGGCCACAUUGGGACUGAGAUACGGCCCAGACUCCUACGGGAGGCAGCAGUGGGGAAUAUUGCACAAUGGGCGCAAGCCUGAGGCAGCGACGCCGCGUGGGGGAUGACGGCCUUCGGGUUGUAAACUCCUGUCGCUAGGGACGAAGCGUUUUUGUGACGGUACCUGGAGAAGAAGCACCGGCUAACUACGUG
Molecule: ribosomal RNA, 467 nt
Filed under: uncultured bacterium
Lineage: Bacteria
Description: partial 16S ribosomal RNA
Rfam family: Bacterial small subunit ribosomal RNA
Source: RNAcentral